CUAUUUUUGAAGCGUAUUGGCUUUCCUAUGUCCAUCCGGUAUAGGAAAUAAAAGGGAACCGGGUGUAAAUCCCGGACAGGCCCCGCUGCUGUGAGCUUCUUUACAACGUCCGGACAAUGCUUCUGCCACUGUCGUUUAUACCUCCGACGGGAAGGCGUCUGGAUUGGAGCAAGUCAGAAGACCUGCCAUACAAGCAAUCGUCUG
RNAcentral lists this non-coding RNA (204 nucleotides) under Odoribacter splanchnicus. Lineage: Bacteria; Pseudomonadati; Bacteroidota; Bacteroidia; Bacteroidales; Odoribacteraceae. The record is from RNAcentral.